This 944-nucleotide ribosomal RNA is filed under the name Planctomycetota bacterium. RNAcentral's name for it is "bacterial SSU rRNA". It matches the Rfam family "Bacterial small subunit ribosomal RNA", at positions 1 to 966 of the family's 1533-position model. Lineage: Bacteria; Pseudomonadati; Planctomycetota. The record is from RNAcentral.
AAACUGAAGAGUUUGAUCCUGGCUCAGCGCGAACGCUGGCGGCAUGGCUAAAGCAUGCAAGUCGAACGUUUAAAGCCCCUUCGGGGGUGCAUACAGUGGCGAAAGGGCGAGGAAUACGUUCCUACGUACCCCGAGGUCGGGGAUAGCCCGGGGAAACCCGGAGUAAUACCCGAUGUGGUCCGUCGCAAGGCGGAUCAAAGGCUUCGGUCGCCUUGGGAGCGGGGAACGUCCUAUCAGGUUGUUGGUGAGGUAAAGGCUCACCAAGCCGAAGACGGGUAGCGGGUGUGAGAGCACGAACCGCCGCAUCGGGACUGAGACACUGCCCGGACUCCUACGGGAGGCUGCAGCAACGAAUCUUCCGCAAUGCGCGAAAGCGUGACGGAGCAAUGCCGCGUGCAGGAUGAAGCCCUUCGGGGUGUAAACUGCUGUCAGGGUUUAGCAACACAAUGAGCAGACCCAAAGGAAGGGCCGGCUAACUUCGUGCCAGCAGCCGCGGUAAUACGAAGGGCCCGAGCGUUGCGCGGAAUCACUGGGCUUAAAGCGUACGUAGGCGGGCAUGCAGGCAUCUUGUGAAAUCCCUCGGCUCAACCGAGGAACUGCUUGGUAAACCGCAUGUCUUGAGGCAAGUAGGGGCUGUCGGAACGAUAGGUGGAGCGGUGAAAUGCGUUGAUAUCUAUCGGAACGCCGAAGGUGAAGACAGGCAGCUGGGCUUGUUCUGACGCUGAUGUACGAAAGCGUGGGGAGCGAACGGGAUUAGAUACCCCGGUAGUCCACGCCGUAAACGAUGUGCACUAGAUCGAGGGGGUUCUGACGCCAUUCUCGGUCGAAGCAAAAGUGUUAAGUGCACCGCCUGGGGAGUACGGUCGCAAGGCUAAAACUCAAAGGAAUUGACGGGGGCUCACACAAGCGGUGGAGCAUGUGGCUUAAUUCGAAGCAACGCGAAG